UGCGUAGGCGGGCUAAUAAGUCAGUGGUGAAAUCUUCCGGCUCAACCGGGAACCUGCCAUUGAUACUGUUAGUCUUGAGUACGGCUGAGGUAGGCGGAAUGUGUAAUGUAGCGGUGAAAUGCUUAGAUAUUACACAGAACACCAAUUGCGUAGGCAGCUUACUAGACCGUAACUGACGCUGAGGCACGAAAGCGUGGGUAGCGAACAGGAUUAGAUACCCUGGUAGUC
RNAcentral lists this ribosomal RNA (228 nucleotides) under uncultured bacterium. RNAcentral's name for it is "partial 16S ribosomal RNA". It matches the Rfam family "Bacterial small subunit ribosomal RNA", at positions 568 to 795 of the family's 1533-position model. The record is from RNAcentral.